This 253-nucleotide ribosomal RNA is filed under the name uncultured bacterium. RNAcentral's name for it is "partial 16S ribosomal RNA". It matches the Rfam family "Bacterial small subunit ribosomal RNA", at positions 524 to 776 of the family's 1533-position model. The record is from RNAcentral.
UACGUAGGGUGCAAGCGUUGUCCGGAAUUAUUGGGCGUAAAGAGCUCGUAGGCGGUCUGUCGCGUCGGCUGUGAAAACCCGGAGCUCAACUCCGGGCCUGCAGUUGAUACGGGCAGACUGGAGUUCGGCAGGGGAGACUGGAAUUCCUGGUGUAGCGGUGAAAUGCGCAGAUAUCAGGAGGAACACCGGUGGCGAAGGCGGUUCUCUGGGCCUUACCUGACGCUGAGGAGCGAAAGCGUGGGGAGCGAACAGG